GCCUCGGUGGUGUAGUGGUAGAGUGCGCAUCCACGGAUAGGAUAAAACGCGGGUUUGAUUCCCGGCUGAGGCC
Non-coding RNA from Parelaphostrongylus tenuis, 73 nucleotides. Lineage: Eukaryota; Metazoa; Nematoda; Chromadorea; Rhabditida; Metastrongylidae. The record is from the annotation of a GenBank genome assembly.